AGUGGCGGACGGGUGAGUAACGCGUAAGAAUCUAACUUCAGGACGGGGACAACAGUGGGAAACGACUGCUAAUACCCGAUGUGCCGCGAGGUGAAACCUAAUUGGCCUGAAGAAGAGCUUGCGUCUGAUUAGCUAGUUGGUGGGGUAAGAGCCUACCAAGGCGACGAUCAGUAGCUGGUCUGAGAGGAUGAGCAGCCACACUGGGACUGAGACACGGCCCAGACUCCUACGGGAGGCAGCAGUGGGGAAUUUUCCGCAAUGGGCGAAAGCCUGACGGAGCAACGCCGCGUGAGGGAGGAAGGUCUUUGGAUUGUAAACCUCUUUUCUCAAGGAAGAAGUUCUGACGGUACUUGAGGAAUCAGCCUCGGCUAACUCCGUGCCAGCAGCCGCGGUAAUACGGGGGAGGCAAGCGUUAUCCGGAAUUAUUGGGCGUAAAGCGUCCGCAGGUGGUCAGCCAAGUCUGCCGUCAAAUCAGGUUGCUUAACGACCUAAAGGCGGUGGAAACUGGCAGGCUAGAGAGCAGUAGGGGUAGCAGGAAUUCCCAGUGUAGCGGUGAAAUGCGUAGAGAUUGGGAAGAACAUCGGUGGCGAAAGCGUGCUACUGGGCUGUAUCUGACACUCAGGGACGAAAGCUAGGGGAGCGAAAGGGAUUAGAUACCCCUGUAGUCCUAGCCGUAAACGAUGGAUACUAGGCGUGGCUU
This 700-nucleotide ribosomal RNA is filed under the name uncultured bacterium. Its description in RNAcentral is "bacterial SSU rRNA". It matches the Rfam family "Bacterial small subunit ribosomal RNA", at positions 94 to 828 of the family's 1533-position model. The record is from RNAcentral.